Long non-coding RNA from Gadus macrocephalus (Pacific cod), 422 nucleotides. RefSeq lists it as uncharacterized. The record is from RefSeq and is a predicted model, not a curated record. The transcript is spliced from 3 exons. Lineage: Eukaryota; Metazoa; Chordata; Actinopteri; Gadiformes; Gadidae.
CAAUACCAACACCAAGACCAGAACCAACACUAUCACCAGCACCAACAGCAGUUCCAGCACCAGCAACAGAAGACCCAUCACCAGCUCCAGGUCCAUCAUCAGCAUCAGCAACAGAGGCCCUGGGCCACUCUGUCAUUCCAAAAGGACUUGUGGAGCGCUGCUCCUUCCAAAGCCCCCAGAAGUUCAUAAAUGAUCUCCUACAUGGGAUGUAUACCAGGGAAUAUAUGGGAGGCCAUUCAGUGACUGGCCAGUCAUCCAGCAGCUGCACAGAAGGAAAACCUGGCCUAGCCAAACAGGACCUUGUUGAAAUAACAAAUGCUGCAAAGUUGAAGUUCACCUACGUAACUGAUACGAACAUAAAAGCAUUUAUACGACAAAAGCUGAACAAUACUGCCAAAUUUCAGAAACAAUAAAUUAUCAAC